CGGGAAUUUUGGGCAAUGGGCGCAAGCCUGACCCAGCAACGCCGCGUGAAGGAUGAAGUCCUUCGGGAUGUAAACUUCGAAAGAAUGGGAAGAAUCAAUGACGGUACCAUUUUUAAGCCCCGGCUAACUCCGUGCCAGCAGCCGCGGUAAUACGGAGGGGGCAAGCGUUGUUCGGAUUUACUGGGCGUAAAGGGCGCGUAGGCGGUUUGGUAAGUUACUUGUGAAAUCUCUGGGCUUAACCCAGAACGGCCAAGUAAUACUGCCGAACUAGAGUGUAGAAGGGGCAACUGGAAUUCUUGGUGUAGCGGUGAAAUGCGUAGAUAUCAAGAGGAACACCUGAGGCGAAGGCGGGUUGCUGGGCUGACACUGACGCUGAGGCGCGAAAGCUAGGGGAGCAAA
RNAcentral lists this ribosomal RNA (399 nucleotides) under uncultured bacterium. Its description in RNAcentral is "bacterial SSU rRNA". It matches the Rfam family "Bacterial small subunit ribosomal RNA", at positions 356 to 772 of the family's 1533-position model. The record is from RNAcentral.